AAUCAACGCUGGCGGCGCGCCUAACACAUGCAAGUCGAACGAGAAAGCAGGAGCAAUCUUGUGAGUAAAGUGGCGUACGGGUGAGUAACACGUGGAUCAUCUACCCUUUUGUGGGGGAUAACUCUGGGAAACCGGAGCUAAUACCGCAUAAGCUCGAGAGAGGAAAGCAGCAAUGCGCAGGAGGAGGAGUCCGCGGCCGAUUAGCUAGUUGGUAGGGUAAAAGCCUACCAAGGCAACGAUCGGUAGCCGGCCUGAGAGGGCACACGGCCACACUGGCACUGAAACACGGGCCAGACUCCUACGGAAGGCAGCAGUGGGGAAUCUUGCACAAUGGGGGCAACCCUGAUGCAGCGACGCCGCGUGAGCGAUGAAGCCC
RNAcentral lists this ribosomal RNA (376 nucleotides) under uncultured bacterium. RNAcentral describes it as "bacterial SSU rRNA". It matches the Rfam family "Bacterial small subunit ribosomal RNA", at positions 32 to 416 of the family's 1533-position model. The record is from RNAcentral.